This 301-nucleotide ribosomal RNA is filed under the name uncultured bacterium. RNAcentral's name for it is "partial 16S ribosomal RNA". It matches the Rfam family "Bacterial small subunit ribosomal RNA", at positions 509 to 809 of the family's 1533-position model. The record is from RNAcentral.
CAGUAGCCGCGGUAAUACGGAGGGGGCUAGCGUUGUUCGGAAUUACUGGGCGUAAAGCGCACGUAGGCGGCUUUGUAAGUCAGAGGUGAAAGCCCGGGGCUCAACCCCGGAAUUGCCUUUGAGACUGCAUCGCUUAAAUCCAGGAGAGGUGAGUGGAAUUCCGAGUGUAGAGGUGAAAUUCGUAGAUAUUCGGAAGAACACCAGUGGCGAAGGCGGCUCACUGGACUGGUAUUGACGCUGAGGUGCGAAAGCGUGGGGAGCAAACAGGAUUAGAUACCCCGGUAGUCCCUGUCUCUUAUAU